AGAGUUUGAUCCUGGCUCAGGAUGAACGCUGGCGGCGUGCCUAAUACAUGCAAGUCGAGCGAACGGACGAGAAGCUUGCUUCUCUGAUGUUAGCGGCGGACGGGUGAGUAACACGUGGAUAACCUACCUAUAAGACUGGGAUAACUUCGGGAAACCGGAGCUAAUACCGGAUAAUAUUUUGAACCGCAUGGUUCAAAAGUGAAAGACGGUCUUGCUGUCACUUAUAGAUGGAUCCGCGCUGCAUUAGCUAGUUGGUAAGGUAACGGCUUACCAAGGCAACGAUGCAUAGCCGACCUGAGAGGGUGAUCGGCCACACUGGAACUGAGACACGGUCCAGACUCCUACGGGAGGCAGCAGUAGGGAAUCUUCCGCAAUGGGCGAAAGCCUGACGGAGCAACGCCGCGUGAGUGAUGAAGGUCUUCGGAUCGUAAAACUCUGUUAUUAGGGAAGAACAUAUGUGUAAGUAACUGUGCACAUCUUGACGGUACCUAAUCAGAAAGCCACGGCUAACUACGUGCCAGCAGCCGCGGUAAUACGUAGGUGGCAAGCGUUAUCCGGAAUUAUUGGGCGUAAAGCGCGCGUAGGCGGUUUUUUAAGUCUGAUGUGAAAGCCCACGGCUCAACCGUGGAGGGUCAUUGGAAACUGGAAAACUUGAGUGCAGAAGAGGAAAGUGGAAUUCCAUGUGUAGCGGUGAAAUGCGCAGAGAUAUGGAGGAACACCAGUGGCGAAGGCGACUUUCUGGUCUGUAACUGACGCUGAUGUGCGAAAGCGUGGGGAUCAAACAGGAUUAGAUACCCUGGUAGUCCACGCCGUAAACGAUGAGUGCUAAGUGUUAGGGGGUUUCCGCCCCUUAGUGCUGCAGCUAACGCAUUAAGCACUCCGCCUGGGGAGUACGACCGCAAGGUUGAAACUCAAAGGAAUUGACGGGGACCCGCUCAAGCGGUGGAGCAUGUGGUUUAAUUCGAAGCAACGCGAAGAACCUUACCAAAUCUUGACAUCCUUUGACAACUCUAGAGAUAGAGCCUUCCCCUUCGGGGGACAAAGUGACAGGUGGUGCAUGGUUGUCGUCAGCUCGUGUCGUGAGAUGUUGGGUUAAGUCCCGCAACGAGCGCAACCCUUAAGCUUAGUUGCCAUCAUUAAGUUGGGCACUCUAAGUUGACUGCCGGUGACAAACCGGAGGAAGGUGGGGAUGACGUCAAAUCAUCAUGCCCCUUAUGAUUUGGGCUACACACGUGCUACAAUGGACAAUACAAAGGGCAGCGAAACCGCGAGGUCAAGCAAAUCCCAUAAAGUUGUUCUCAGUUCGGAUUGUAGUCUGCAACUCGACUACAUGAAGCUGGAAUCGCUAGUAAUCGUAGAUCAGCAUGCUACGGUGAAUACGUUCCCGGGUCUUGUACACACCGCCCGUCACACCACGAGAGUUUGUAACACCCGAAGCCGGUGGAGUAACCUUUUAGGAGCUAGCCGUCGAAGGUGGGACAAAUGAUUGGGGUGAAGUCGUAACAAGGUAGCCGUAUCGGAAGGUGCGGCUGGAUCACCU
Molecule: ribosomal RNA, 1540 nt
Filed under: Staphylococcus aureus VET1518S
Lineage: Bacteria; Bacillati; Bacillota; Bacilli; Caryophanales; Staphylococcaceae
Description: 16S ribosomal RNA
Rfam family: Bacterial small subunit ribosomal RNA
Source: RNAcentral